ACAUCUGUCACCCCAUUGGUCACCAGGGCUAAUUCAGCUGGUCUGGCUGUCUGGGCAAUUGU
Molecule: unclassified non-coding RNA, 62 nt
Organism: Chlorocebus sabaeus (green monkey)
Lineage: Eukaryota; Metazoa; Chordata; Mammalia; Primates; Cercopithecidae
Gene: 7SK
Rfam family: 7SK RNA
About the family: 7SK was discovered as an abundant small nuclear RNA in the mid-70s but a possible function has only recently been suggested.
Source: Ensembl